CAGCACUGGAGAAGGACUGCUUGAGUCUGAGCCAGCUUGAACUGUUAUGGAGCUGCAAGGCAGCCAGGGUAAGACGCAAGAAAACCCUAGGUUACUAUGUUACUAUUCGGUGACUUCCUUCUGCAUGAGCUCACGCUGGCUCUCACAGCCCCAGCUGUGAAGCAAAACCCAACGCUGACAACUCCACUGGGGCCCGUCUGAACUUCAGUGUGGAUCAUAAAUUAUUUAUACUCCGGAUGAUUAGAUCUAACCAUUCCAAAUCAUUAUUGUCUGGUACUACAGACAUAUUUUCACAGAACUAAAAACGUUAUGUGUAUCUGUGAAGAAAUUUGACAGCAAAUUACGUAAGAGAGCACUGACAACCUGCACAGCCACUCAGAGCGAAAACACACUGCUGCUCCUCUCUGUGCAGCCUGCUUUUCACUCUCCUGCCUGCCGAGGAUAGCCACAGUGAUUUCCUUCCCAUUAUAUAAUUCUUCAAAUUGUGUAAUUUAAAUACACAAAUAUAAAAACAGAGAUAUCAGUGUCUACAUUGUAUCUAUAGAACUGUAAAACUUCAACUCAAAUCAGCUAACAGAGGACAAACUGGUACCUCAUGGUGUCUAUGGAAUCAGGACAGGCCUCAGCUUACAUCUUCCCAGAAGCUAAGCAACAUUUUGAACCAUCUGGCUGUGAGGUCACAAUGGUGACCUCACAAGUGUAAAUUCUGAUGUUGGUCUGCCUCUCCACCCUCACCACUUUAAAGAAGAAAAAAAGAGAAGGUUCCAUCCUCCUGAAUGAGGCUAGGAUAUGGUCUUUAUACAAGAAAUCCCCUUCCCAUCAGACAGCAGUGUCUUCCACUGCUGAGGGGCAAAAGCAACACAGCUUCGGCUACGGUGAAGAAUUCUGAAAAUUGAGUAGGAAGUGAAUCUCAAGCUUAGAGUAACUGCUGCCCUUUCUCUGCCACUCUGGCACACUGAAGAGCCACCAGCCCUAAUAUUCCCUGUUUACCAAUUCUGGAAUAUCAGAUCUCACUGAAGAAGGCAAAACAGCCAAUGCUUGCUGUGUUCCUGUCUCCUCGCCUUUAGAGCUUACAACCCCGUAUAAAGGUAAAGGCUGGCUUCAAACUUCCCAUGUAACUCAGAAUGAUGGUAAACUUCUGAUUCCUUCACCUCCGUCUCCCAAGUGCUGGAACUGUAGAUGUGCCCCACUGUGCUACUUUCAAUAAAGCAAAAAAGGCAUUUUACUGGCAAGAGCAAAAUGUAUGUCAAAGGAGCCGCACAACCUUGAAUGUCAGCAUGGAUAAUGGGCUGCUCUCUGCCAAGCUGGGAUGGUACGGUUCCCUCUGCUUUCCUGUGUCCAAAAUGCAUCCUGAUUAAAAGGUUUUAUUAUAUAAGAUA
This is a long non-coding RNA of Mastomys coucha (southern multimammate mouse), 1379 nucleotides long. RefSeq lists it as uncharacterized. The transcript is spliced from 4 exons. The record is from RefSeq and is a predicted model, not a curated record. NCBI's taxonomy places the organism in Eukaryota, Metazoa, Chordata, Mammalia, Rodentia, Muridae.